GACCAGCAGUAAGUUACUGUAAAACCUACAGUGUAAUUCAGUAUUUUUCAGACUUGUUUCUUGGGUCCGCCCACAAUUCGUCCAACCGAGCUUCAUUUCACCUGGCCGACCCUGCUAAAUCCAUCCUACUGCAUCGUGUGUUUUUGAUAACAAGUUGCUGGUGACAAAGUCACAAUAAAACGUUGGAUGAUCAGCAUGGAAGGUGAUGUCAUCUGCAAAGGCGUCCAACCUAGCUUAAUCUCAGGGCUUGCUGCCCUUCUUGCCACCUACUAUGUGUUCAACUUGGAAUACCAAGAGGAAGGUCCUCGGACAUUGGAAUUUGUUCAAAGGGACCGAAGCACCAGUUUGACUCUAGGAUACAGAGAAGGUAGGUAAUGUGCAGGUAAAGAUAUGUUGACUGGGUCAAAAAAGGAAGCACCUGUUUGACCCCAGGAUGCAGAAAAAGUAGGUAAUUUGCAGGUAAAGAUAUGUUGACUGGAUGAUGGCAGGAAGCACCAGCUUGACCCGAGAAUGCAGAGCAAGUAGGUAAUGUGCGGGUGAAGAUAUGUUGAAUGGGUAAAGGCAGGAAGCACCAGUGUGACCCCACCAUGCAGGGAAGG
Molecule: long non-coding RNA, 599 nt
Organism: Entelurus aequoreus (snake pipefish)
Lineage: Eukaryota; Metazoa; Chordata; Actinopteri; Syngnathiformes; Syngnathidae
Exons: 3
Source: RefSeq, a predicted model, not a curated record